Peromyscus maniculatus bairdii (prairie deer mouse) is the source of this 3126-nucleotide non-coding RNA. The record is from RefSeq and is a predicted model, not a curated record. NCBI's taxonomy places the organism in Eukaryota, Metazoa, Chordata, Mammalia, Rodentia, Cricetidae.
AAGAGUGUAGGUGAUGCCGGAACUCUGGAGUCUGAUUCAUCCAGUGUUUUCAUUGAUGUGGGCACAGAAGUACAGCAAGAUAGAAAGGGGACUUCUGCCCAGUGCCACUUGUUUCACAGUGAUAGCUUCUAUGAAAGGUAUUGAGGGUGGAGGAGCUCAGGAGGCCUGUCUGUGGAGCACGUGGGCAUGGAAGGAGCGGGAGCCCCUACUCAAGCCUUCCCUGAAGCAGCUCAAGGCCUCUUGGACUUGACUACAGAAGAAUCAGGAUGUGUGCCAAACAGUAGUGGUGGAUGACUUCAUUCUUCUAUUAUGAAAAUGUUCAAGAAUAAAAAAGAGAAAUGAGACAAUGGAUACCAAUAGUCAACAUCAGCCAUCACAGCAGCUAAGGAGAGAGCAGCCUGAGGAGGAAUCUACUGCAUCUUAAUCUUGGCCUUCAGAAACCAGGAUAUGAUGAAUAAGUUUCUGUUAUUCAAUCCAUUCGGCCUGUGGUACCGCAUUCUGCCAUGCUCAGCAGAGGAACAUACUAACCUUUAGGGCAUACCUGAUAGGAGGAUGAGAAGCCAACUGGAUCCUGGAAGCUCAUCACACUUGGGGGAACCAAAGCUUGCUGGUUUAAUUAUCAUUCACUGAGUAUCUAUGGUCUAUCAGCACUGGAUACAUGAAGCAGGCACCAAGGGACAUAAAUGUCCAUGUACUUGGAUGAGGGAAACACAACUUUAAACUUUGUAUUCUGAGGGCCUAAGUCAUCUCAUAUAGGAUGAAACAUUGACUUGUAAUUAACCAUAAAUUUUAUAUUAGGGUCUGACAUACUUCAAAUUCUAUCCUUUAAAAAUGUUCUUGGUGUCAUCUUUGCAAUAAAUAGUUUGCAGAGGCAGGGCCCAGCACCACAUACACCUUUUAUGUCAUGAAAGUUGCCUUGAUGACACACCAGUUAGAUCUCAGCAGUUUUGCUUAGUAGUUCAAAAAACUCUACCCUUCAUUUCUGACUAGAGAGAAAAAAAAGGAGAAGGAAUACCAAUCUAGUAAUCUUGAUUAAUUUUGCUCUAAAAUAAAAUAUUAGCCUUUUUAUGAUAAAAAUUUAUGGCAAGAGGCACUUGGUGUCUCUUGUUCUGGGAAAUAUUUUGCUACCUCUACUUUCUUGAAUUUGACUUCAUUUAAAAGGGGAACUAGAAGUCUUGAUGGGACCCCUGGCAUAGUAUAAGAAGAGGAGCCUGGCCAUGGAGCAACACCAGACCCAGAAGAGGCAAGGUAUCACAUCAUAAAUUCUAGGAGCUCAGCUUCACCUGUGCAACACUCUGCCAUGUUUCUGAUGCUUCUCCCUAAAGUUCAAAUCUGAUGUCACUCAUCAUUUGCUCUCUAAUCUUUACUGAGUCCUGAGCAUGAGGGUCAGCUCUGUAUUUGUGGUGCUUUUAUGCUCCAUAGAAUUUAAAUUGCCCAACUGUCACUUUCCUGCCUAUUUCCUUGCUGACCUUGGGCAGUCCUUUAUUAUUAUUAUUAUUAUUAUUAUUAUUAUUAUUAUUAUUAUUAAUUUAUUUGGUUUCUCAAGACCGGGUUUCUCGGUGUAAUAGCUCUGGCUAUCCUGGAACUAGCAAUGUAGAUCCACCUGCCUCUGCCUCCCGAGUGCUGGGAUUAAAGGUGUGCGUCACCACUGCCCAGCGACCUUGGGCUAUCUUAAGACUUCUAAUUUUCUCCACAUAGAUAUCUGAUGUGAUUAAAUGAGAAGCCAAAGCCCAAGUGCUCACCCUAGUACCUGGCAGAGUAUGGCACAUACACAGUAGGUGGCCAUUUUGCCACCAGUAUGUGAGUGAUUCUCACAGGCUUUCCAGCCCUUUCACCAGCGCUCACACUUUGCACACAUUUUUACAAUGCUCAUAUUGGCCUAAUACAAUGUACCUUGUCACUUAUGAAUGGAAGGAACUACACAGACCUGGCAAGGAGGAUGCUUAAGGAAACAGGUAUGGAAAGACAGACCUGAAUCCCUGGUCUUAAACUGCCAAUAACAUCUGGAUCCCAUUACCUCCAUGACAAUCAAAAGGGAGUGAUCUGAUAAAUGAUUCCAAAUUUAGGUUUAUUAGGCCUGAUUCUGGUUUAAAAUAUUUUAUCUUUGUGACAGAGUUUUAUAUAGCCCAGGCUGAUUUCAAACUUGCCAUGUUUGACAUGAGUCAUGUGUGUACAUGAAUGUAGGACCUAGGACCAUCUUGAACUUGUAACCUUCAUGCCUGUACCUCCUAAAUGAUGGAUUACAUAGAUAGAUGUUCAUGAUCACCCCCAGUUUCUAUGGUGCAAAGCCUCCAGCCGAGGGCUUCAUUUAUGCUAAGACAGACAUCUACCAACUGAGCUGCAUCCCAAGGCAUAGGAAGCUAUAUUUUUUUAAGUGUGUAGAUGCUCUGUGGAAAAGUUCAUGGUCAGUACCUUUGAAAAACAUUGAAUAUUUUUCUUUCUGUCCUGGAGAAUCAGUGUCUUUAAAAACCUUGGAUUACAAACAAAACCAACCAACCAACCAACAAACCCAUGGUCCUGUGAUCAGAAUGAAAAAUUUUCGAAGUUGUUUGGGUAUUGGGACAUUUUCUUCCUCGUGUGCAGCACCCUUUCACAUCCUGUGACUCAUGACUUGCAAACAUUCUCCAGGAAAUGUUGGACCAGAAGGCCCUUCAAGGCCUUUGAAAGGUUUAUUUUUAGGUAUCACAGUUCCCCUUAUCUUUCUAAUAAUUCCUUUUCUAAAUUUUUUCCUACAUCAACAUCCUUCUCAGUCUUUGCUUUUUUUCCAUGGCCUCGGGCUUAGCUGUGUCUGGAGAGGUGAGCUGUUUUGCCCACCCUCCAGGCAGUUUGUUCAGACUGCAAAUGUGUGAAUCAGACAAAUCAGGUGUUCUGAAUCUCACUUCAUAUAAAAUAGAAUUAUAACAAUAGUCCAAUAAUUGAUGAAAUUAUUAAUUUUCCAUGAAGGAGAUGAAACUGAGGCCACAGAAUUAGCAUCAGUAGAUUUAGCUCUUGAAAAAUCUACUUGUAAUGCCUGAAGUAUGGUGGUUUGGAGUGACAAUGUGUGAUAAUUACAGUAACACUUACUUUGUUCUUAGGGGUCAGAACGUCAAGAGGGGAAGGCAAUAAAGCUAGUGUUUAAUAACUUCA